AUAGCAACCCCAUUCCCCAAGCCCUCUGUCCGUCUCCUCUGGUAGGUUCCACAAUGGUACAGGCAGCAUCACGCUGCACAAUGGUUUCCAGGCAGUGAAAGAGGGUGAUUCAGCAAGCCACUCUUCUUCUAUUUUCUUUAACCUCCCCUUCACUUUUUAUUUUUAUGGGGGUGGGUGGUGCUUGCUAUAUGCUUACCUUUUUCUUUUCUUUUUUCAUUUUUACAAAUUUCCUUUUUUGUCCUCACCCCUCAAUUCCUAGGGGCUUGAGUGAGUUUAAGAUUGGGUUUUCUUGGAAAUCACCUGUCCAUCGUUAAUUUUAAACAAUCUCCAUAUCUCCAAAGAAUCUCUUCCAUGUUAGUCUGGAAUGUGGUUAAUGAAAAACAAGUAGGGAGGAUUUCUGGGGCAAACACUGCCGGAUCAGGAUCGUAGUUCUCAGGCACGGAAUGGCUAGUGUGAGAAACACCAACGGCAGGCCCAUCUCAGAUCUUCACUAUGGCAACUUAUGCAAGAAACUGUUGAAUUAGACCCGUUUCCUAUAGAUGAGAAACCAUACAAGCUGUGGUAUUUAUGAGCCUCCAUUUCUUAUACUACUGCAGUGAACCAACAUUGGAUGUGAAAAUUGCCUUUUGUCAGGUGUGUGUUCCUUACAGGUAAAACAAGGGAUUCGAUAAACAAGUGGAUGUGUCAUAUAUUGCCAAACAUUACAACAUGAGCAAAAGCAAAGUUGACAACCAGUUCUACAGUGUGGAAGUGGGAGACUCAACCUUCACAGUUCUCAAGCGCUACCAGAAUCUAAAGCCUAUUGGCUCUGGGGCUCAGGGCAUAGUUUGGUAAGUGGAAUGGAUUUGCUGUAUUUUUAAAGGGAACACACCGUGUGCAACUACUAGACACAAACACACAAACAAACAAAAUCCCCAAAAUAAAUAGCAUAAUUUGGGAGGGAAAAAUAAUCCUAUUGAAGAAAAAAAA
Molecule: small RNA, 969 nt
Filed under: Pan troglodytes (chimpanzee)
Lineage: Eukaryota; Metazoa; Chordata; Mammalia; Primates; Hominidae
Description: processed transcript
Source: RNAcentral